AAAGUGUGUUUUGGUGUAUGCUUAUUGCACAGAGUUGUGUGCUGUCAUAGAGACGGUGGUUCCCCGAACAAAGGAAACUCUGACGCACAGAAGACAUAAUACAGUGGCCCCCACCCUGGCGUCUGUUGUAUUAAGAUGGCUGU
Long non-coding RNA from Sander lucioperca (pikeperch), 143 nucleotides. RefSeq lists it as uncharacterized. The record is from RefSeq and is a predicted model, not a curated record. Lineage: Eukaryota; Metazoa; Chordata; Actinopteri; Perciformes; Percidae. The transcript is spliced from 4 exons.